UUGUCUCAAAGAUUAAGCCAUGCAUGUCUCAGUACAAGCCGAAUUAAGGUGAAACCGCGAAAGGCUCAUUAAAUCAGUUAUGGUUCCUUAGAUCGUACCCACAUUUACUCGGAUAACUGUGGUAAUUCUAGAGCUAAUACGUGCAAACAGAGCUCCGACCGGAGACGGAAGGAGCGCUUUUAUUAGAUCAAAACCAAACGGUUGCGGGUUCGCUCGUGAUCGUGUUUGUUGGUGACUCUGAAUAACUUUUGCUGAUCGCACGGUCUAGCACCGGCGACGCAUCUUUCAAAUGUCUGCCUUAUCAACUGUCGAUGGUAGGUUCUGCGCCUACCAUGGUUGUAACGGGUAACGGGGAAUCAGGGUUCGAUUCCGGAGAGGGAGCCUGAGAAACGGCUACCACAUCCAAGGAAGGCAGCAGGCGCGCAAAUUACCCACUCCCGGCACGGGGAGGUAGUGACGAAAAAUAACGAUACGGGACUCAUCCGAGGCCCCGUAAUCGGAAUGAGUACACUCUAAAUCCUUUAACGAGGAUCAAUUGGAGGGCAAGUCUGGUGCCAGCAGCCGCGGUAAUUCCAGCUCCAAUAGCGUAUAUUAAAGUUGUUGCGGUUAAAAAGCUCGUAGUCGAACUUGUGUUCCGCGCCGCCGGUUCAUCGCUCGCGGUGUUAACUGGCGUGUCCGCGGAACGUCCUGCCGGUGGGCUUAGCUCCUUUCGGGGAGCGGCCCAACUUAAAAUCCCGCCGCGGUGCUCUUCACUGAGUGUCGAGGUGGGCCGGCACGUUUACUUUGAACAAAUUAGAGUGCUUAAAGCAGGCUAAAACUUCGCCUGAAUACUGUGUGCAUGGAAUAAUGGAAUAGGACCUCGGUUCUAUUUUGUUGGUUUUCGGAACCCCGAGGUAAUGAUUAAUAGGAACGGAUGGGGGCAUUCGUAUUGCGACGUUAGAGGUGAAAUUCUUGGAUCGUCGCAAGACGGACAGAAGCGAAAGCAUUUGCCAAAAACGCUUUCAUUGAUCAAGAACGAAAGUUAGAGGUUCGAAGGCGAUCAGAUACCGCCCUAGUUCUAACCAUAAACGAUGCCAGCUAGCGAUCCGCCGACGUUCCUUAGAUGACUCGGCGGGCAGCUUCCGGGAAACCAAAGCUUUUGGGUUCCGGGGGAAGUAUGGUUGCAAAGCUGAAACUUAAAGGAAUUGACGGAAGGGCACCACCAGGAGUGGAGCCUGCGGCUUAAUUUGACUCAACACGGGAAACCUCACCAGGCCCGGACACCGGAAGGAUUGACAGAUUGAGAGCUCUUUCUUGAUUCGGUGGGUGGUGGUGCAUGGCCGUUCUUAGUUGGUGGAGCGAUUUGUCUGGUUAAUUCCGAUAACGAACGA
RNAcentral lists this ribosomal RNA (1370 nucleotides) under Trox sp. BMNH 793031. Its description in RNAcentral is "SSU rRNA". It matches the Rfam family "Eukaryotic small subunit ribosomal RNA", at positions 32 to 1338 of the family's 1831-position model. Lineage: Eukaryota; Metazoa; Arthropoda; Insecta; Coleoptera; Trogidae. The record is from RNAcentral.